AGUAAAAUGGCUGAAUAAAGCAGAAAACUGUAACUUUUCUAAUGAGGUCCUCUCUUUUACUA
Molecule: transfer RNA, 62 nt
Filed under: Eomenopon denticulatum
Lineage: Eukaryota; Metazoa; Arthropoda; Insecta; Psocodea; Menoponidae
Description: tRNA-Tyr
Source: RNAcentral